CUUAAAUCAUAAGAAGGAACCACAAAUUACAAAAAAGUGAUAGAGGAUGGCAUAGCCACAGGUGAACAUAGUUUUCCUUACAUGUCCUAAAAUCAUUUUUGGUUUGUUAUGAACAGACACAUCAUUUGCAUAACCAUUGAUGCAAUGUCAAAGUAUUUUAAGCAGCUGUCUUUACUGUCAGACUAGGCUAAGACUAAGGACCGCUGUGGUAGAGACCAUAGUCUAGUGGAAAUAGAAACAGAAUCUUUGAGACUGAGGAGGUGUUAAAGUGCUUCAAGAAACUGAUGACAAUUAUUUAGGAUGUUCAUGAUAACGAAUCUUUUUAGCUAAAGAGGGGGAGGUCAAGCAUGCCUACCUGCCAAGUUCUCCAUACAGUAGGUCACUCAAGAAAUAGGAGCAAAGCACCCUUUUUCCAUAUGUGAAGGCACUAAUACAAAUAAAAUAGAUGUUGGACCUGUCACAUUCCAAAAGUUAAAUUAAAACCUGAGGAAAAACCUACAAGCAAGUGUCAUCCAGCCUUCAGAUGAUAUUCUACAACUACAUUCUGUGAAGGGUCCAGCCCUAAGAGCAAACUCAAUCCAGGAAUAUCGUUUGUUUUGAAUUAGUUGUGCUGAUUUAGAAUGGAAGAGUUAACAAGAACAUAGCUUAAGUAAACAAAUUUCCCUCUGUUCAGGUUUUAGCGGGUGAAGUACAAAAAACACUCUCAAAUAACAAAAUAAGAAUUUAUGAAUAUAUGAACUAGAGUGGGCCUACGGUUGAACAAUUGGGAACCACGGCAAAGUGGACUGAGAAUUACGCUUGCUCUGACUUUGAAAGCUAAUAACUUUACAAAAACCAAACUAAAGUCGAUGGAUUUUAUAGAACGUUUACUUGAAUCUAUAUUAAACAUUUUGUUCUUUCAGGAUUUUUAAAUCAAUGAAAAUCAAAAAAGAAAAUGGUACUCAUUCAAUCCUUGCGGAUUCGUCCUGACAUCACAUCUUCGAGAAACGCUGGACGCGCGCGAAAAUUUCUCCCUUCAAAGCAGAGAUUAACAGUCGCCAUUUUGUCCUUUGGCUGAGAAAUUUCCGGAAAGACAGAUCAAUAGUUACUCGAUCCUCUGCCGAAAUACUAUCGGCCAAAAAUCUCAUUUAGAUAUCAAAUCGAUACUCAUUCGCUCGAUCCCCGUUAUACGCUCCAACCAUCUCAUUUUCCGACUAGAUGCGAAAUAGAGAACCUCACAAAAACUUUAAUAACUUGAAAAGCUUUAGGUUAGAAGAGCUGAUUUUCAAGACAUAUACACAGAGAAGCA
Nematostella vectensis (starlet sea anemone) is the source of this 1288-nucleotide long non-coding RNA. RefSeq lists it as uncharacterized. The transcript is spliced from 2 exons. The record is from RefSeq and is a predicted model, not a curated record. Lineage: Eukaryota; Metazoa; Cnidaria; Anthozoa; Actiniaria; Edwardsiidae.